AUCAUCAACCCUCAUUCAACCUUAUUUUCUAACGCACACACACCCCUUCUCUCUCACCAAACCUCCGCCGUCUUCCUCCUCCGGCGGACUGGAUCCGGCCUACGCCCCUAUUCUCCUUCACCUCUCUGGCAGCAGUAGGUCGCCGCCGCCAUNUCCUAUGAAAUUCGAACUCAAGAUCUUGAAUUCAUGCUGUAAUUAAAGUAUGAUAAAUUUACUAUAGAUUUUCACGUUCUAAGGGUUAAAAAUAGUUUUUAGCUUAAUUUUAUUUUUCUAUAUUUUAUUUAGUUCAACGUUUUUUAAAAUGUUACUCCCUCCGUCCACGAAAAAUAGUCAUGUUUCUCCUAUUUUUUUGUCCACGAAAAAGAGUCAUAUUUCACUUUUUAUACAAUUAUACCCUUUAUAACUUUAUGUAUUUACUUUAUUUGCCAUUGAAGGACCCACCUCAAUAAUUAAGAUCUCUUUUCACUUAAACUUAAUUAGCAAUACAAAAGAGUGCUUCUAAAAUUCUCACUCAUCAUCAACCCUCAUUCAACCUUAUUUUCUAACGCACACACACCCCUUCUCUCUCACCAAACCUCCGUCGUCUUCCUCCUCCGGCGGACUGGAUCCGGCCUACGCCCCUAUUCUCCUUCACCUCUCUGGCAGCAGUAGGUCGCCGCCGCCAUGGUGCCCUGACUUGCCGUCCCUAUAAACUCUUCAAACCCUAGGGCCAAUGCCUCAUCUGCAGCAACCGCAGCCUCAAUUUCUGCUGGAGCUACAAGCGCUACUGGACCGCCGUUGUCUCUCUUCUCGCCGCCUUUGUUCAUUUUUUUCAAUUUUAGGUGGUGGUGGACUGGUGCAGCAAUAAUCCCUCAAAUUGAUUUGUUUCUUAAAUUUGUUGAUUUUAUGGGAGUUUUAGCUUCGUUUCUUAAAUUUGGUGAUUCUACCGAAGAAUCACCGGAUCUGUUGCUAUUUCCGAUGAAUCUCUGUAAAUCCAGUGAUUAUACCGAUUAUUCACUGGAUUCGUUAAUGGCGCCUCGGAUUUUCGGUGAUACGGCGCCUUUGACGGAGUCUUAUCCGCCAUUGUCAGACGUUUUGACGACGACCCACACUGAAGAUCUGUCCUUUUCGUCGUGGACUUUGGAGUCGGACACUGUGGUGCCAGAAAUGGAAUUGAUUGAGGCGUCGCUGGACUCCCCGGAAACGGAAUUGAUGGAGGCUUCAAUUUAAUUUCGAAAACAGUGUUUGAGCCUUAAAUUGUUGGAAAAUGAAAUUUGAAUUCUUAGCAACUGAAUUUCAUCUUAAUUUAAAUUGUUGGAAAUGAAAACAGGGUCAUGAGGCUUAAUUUCGAAAUGUAUUGAAUUAAUUUGAAUAAUUUAUCUUAAUUAUUUCAUCUUAAUUGAAUUCUUAAUUA
Molecule: long non-coding RNA, 1393 nt
Filed under: Salvia miltiorrhiza (redroot sage)
Lineage: Eukaryota; Viridiplantae; Streptophyta; Magnoliopsida; Lamiales; Lamiaceae
Description: long non-coding RNA (SMIL_LNC007621)
Source: RNAcentral